Molecule: transfer RNA, 73 nt
Filed under: Fusarium odoratissimum NRRL 54006
Lineage: Eukaryota; Fungi; Ascomycota; Sordariomycetes; Hypocreales; Nectriaceae
Also listed under: 1 other name
Description: tRNA-Tyr (GTA) (tRNA-Tyr-GTA-3-1)
Rfam family: tRNA
About the family: Transfer RNA (tRNA) molecules are approximately 80 nucleotides in length.
Source: RNAcentral
GCCGGUGUGGCCUAAUGGCUAAGGCGUCUGACUGUAAAUCAGAAGAUUGGGAGUUCGACCCUCCCCAUUGGCU